This is a long non-coding RNA of Sinocyclocheilus anshuiensis, 86 nucleotides long. RefSeq lists it as uncharacterized. NCBI's taxonomy places the organism in Eukaryota, Metazoa, Chordata, Actinopteri, Cypriniformes, Cyprinidae. The transcript has 3 exons. The record is from RefSeq and is a predicted model, not a curated record.
GAUGACGUAUGCCGCCUUCGAAUUUGACCUCCGGAGGGCGCAGCCUUCUAAAUGAGACACAGCAAUUGAUGCAGUGUUUACCUUGG